RNAcentral lists this ribosomal RNA (392 nucleotides) under uncultured bacterium. RNAcentral describes it as "bacterial SSU rRNA". It matches the Rfam family "Bacterial small subunit ribosomal RNA", at positions 28 to 426 of the family's 1533-position model. The record is from RNAcentral.
GACGAACGCUGGCGGCGUGCUUAACACAUGCAAGUCGAGCGGUAAGGCCCUUCGGGGUACACGAGCGGCGAACGGGUGAGUAACACGUGGGUAACCUGCCCUGUACUCUGGGAUAAGCCCGGGAAACUGGGUCUAAUACCGGAUACGACACUUGAAGGCAUCUUCGAGUGUGGAAAGUUCCGGCGGUAUGGGAUGGACCCGCGGCCUAUCAGCUUGUUGGUGGGGUAAUGGCCUACCAAGGCGACGACGGGCAGCCGGCCUGAGAGGGUGACCGGCCACACUGGGACUGAGACACGGCCCAGACUCCUACGGGAGGCAGCAGUGGGGAAUAUUGCACAAUGGGCGAAAGCCUGAUGCAGCGACGCCGCGUGAGGGAUGACGGCCUCGGUUGU